RNAcentral lists this ribosomal RNA (81 nucleotides) under Staphylococcus epidermidis. RNAcentral's name for it is "partial 16S ribosomal RNA". It matches the Rfam family "Bacterial small subunit ribosomal RNA", at positions 1 to 81 of the family's 1533-position model. The record is from RNAcentral. Lineage: Bacteria; Bacillati; Bacillota; Bacilli; Caryophanales; Staphylococcaceae.
UUUAUGGAGAGUUUGAUCCUGGCUCAGGAUGAACGCUGGCGGCGUGCCUAAUACAUGCAAGUCGAGCGAACAGAUGAGGAG